This 490-nucleotide ribosomal RNA is filed under the name uncultured bacterium. RNAcentral describes it as "partial 16S ribosomal RNA". It matches the Rfam family "Bacterial small subunit ribosomal RNA", at positions 30 to 507 of the family's 1533-position model. The record is from RNAcentral.
AUUGAACGCUGGCGGCAGGCCUAACACAUGCAAGUCGAACGGUAACAGGAAGCAGCUUGCUGCUUUGCUGCCGAGUGGCGGACGGGUGAGUAAUGUCUGGGAAACUGCCCGAUGGAGGGGGAUAACUACUGGAAACGGUAGCUAAUACCGCAUAACGUCGCAAGACCAAAGAGGGGGACCUUAGGGCCUCUUGCCAUCGGAUGUGCCCAGAUGGGAUUAGCUAGUAGGUGGGGUAACGGCUCACCUAGGCGACGAUCCCUAGCUGGUCUGAGAGGAUGACCAGCCACACUGGAACUGAGACACGGUCCAGACUCCUACGGGAGGCAGCAGUGGGGAAUAUUGCACAAUGGGCGCAAGCCUGAUGCAGCCAUGCCGCGUGUAUGAAGAAGGCCUUCGGGUUGUAAAGUACUUUCAGCGGGGAGGAAGGGAGUAAAGUUAAUACCUUUGCUCAUUGACGUUACCCGCAGAAGAAGCACCGGCUAACUCCGUG